UACGUAGGGGGCGAGCGUUGUCCGGAUUUAUUGGGCGUAAAGAGCUCGUAGGCGGUUCGAUAAGUCGGACGUGAAAUCUCCACGCUCAACGUGGAGGGGCCGUUCGAUACUGUCGUGACUCGAGUCCGGUAGGGGAGUGUGGAAUUCCCGGUGUAGCGGUGAAAUGCGCAGAGAUCGGGAGGAACACCCGUAGCGAAGGCGGCACUCUGGGCCGGUACUGACGCUGAGGCACGAAAGCGUGGGGAGCAAACAGG
Molecule: ribosomal RNA, 254 nt
Filed under: uncultured bacterium
Lineage: Bacteria
Description: partial 16S ribosomal RNA
Rfam family: Bacterial small subunit ribosomal RNA
Source: RNAcentral